CCUCAGUAGCUCAGUGGUAGAGCGGUCGGUGCUUAACUGACUAGUCGUAGGUUCCAAUCCUACUUG
This 66-nucleotide transfer RNA is filed under the name Galeola lindleyana. Its description in RNAcentral is "tRNA-Asn". It matches the Rfam family "tRNA", at positions 5 to 66 of the family's 71-position model. Rfam says of the family: Transfer RNA (tRNA) molecules are approximately 80 nucleotides in length. Their secondary structure includes four short double-helical elements and three loops (D, anti-codon, and T loops). Further hydrogen bonds mediate the characteristic L-shaped molecular structure. tRNAs have two regions of fundamental functional importance: the anti-codon, which is responsible for specific mRNA codon recognition, and the 3' end, to which the tRNAs corresponding amino acid is attached (by aminoacyl-tRNA synthetases). tRNAs cope with the degeneracy of the genetic code in two manners: having more than one tRNA (with a specific anti-codon) for a particular amino acid; and 'wobble' base-pairing, i.e. permitting non-standard base-pairing at the 3rd anti-codon position. The record is from RNAcentral. Lineage: Eukaryota; Viridiplantae; Streptophyta; Magnoliopsida; Asparagales; Orchidaceae.